RNAcentral lists this small RNA (843 nucleotides) under Pongo abelii (Sumatran orangutan). RNAcentral describes it as "processed transcript". Lineage: Eukaryota; Metazoa; Chordata; Mammalia; Primates; Hominidae. The record is from RNAcentral.
GUAAUGGGAUUUUCACAGCUGAAGAAGGCAGAGCCCCUCUUCACCAGCCCCUGCUUCCUGCCUUCAGGAAAAGGCAUUUGUGAAUGAUUCUACAUGACAGCAACAUGUGCUUGACUUGAGGAAUAAAUAAAUUUACUAAGAAGCUUCGAAAUCCCUAUUCCAUCGACAAUAAUGAGCUACUAGACUUCCUCUCUAGGGUACCGUCUGAUGUUCAAAAGGUGCAGUACUCGGAAUUGAAACUCUGCAGCAGCCACAGCCCCCUGCGGAAGAAGCGCAGCGCUCUCUAGGGCACACACCGACUUUGGACAGCAGCACCCAGUGUUGUGUUUGGUUGAGUAGACCAAUGUUAUGGCUGUUUCAGUGGUACCCAAGGUGUCCUUCUGAAAUGCAUGCCCUGUGGCACCCUCUGUAUUCUUCCUCCUCCUUCACGUGCACAGACAUACACACGUGUGCACACACCCCCAUGCAUGGGUGUCCUAGUUGCAUAGAGGGUCAGCCCAGCAAAAAGCAACAUUCCUGAGACUGUGAAAGACUAACAUCCAUUCUGAAAUAGGAGAUAACAAGGCUGCCAUGGAUCUGAACACCACCUUCCUUGAGAACAGCCAGGAGCCCACUUGGAUUCAAGAGUGACUUUGAACUUGUUUUCACACCUCCAACAGACUCUCAUUAAGAUUCAGUUAUUUCCACUCCCCAGCCCCACGCUCCUUUCAGAUUAUUGUUCAUGGGCGUAGUAAGUCUCUUUCUUCUCAGAGUUAACAAGCCUUUGGUAGCCAUCAUCUGUCCAAAUAUCGUAUAUUAUUAAAAGGCAUUUUUAAUAAUUACCAGAAUUAGCUCAAACCUUUA